UUCCAUUUUACCAAAAAUAAAAAUAAAUUGAGUGAUGCCAAACCACGAAAGAAAUAAUGAAAACAUCUAUCCCCAUCCACUUGUUACAAUAAUUCUCUCCUACGGUUAGUGAUAUUCAAUAAUAUAAGUAAAAUGAAGACAAACAAGAAAGAAGAUAGCAGGUAACACCUGUACCGCUAUAACAGAGGGACAGCGUCCAGGUGUGUCCAGCUAUCUAGAGUACCAAAUUGAGACUCCAGGGGUCUCAAGGGUCUUAACCCCAAAGUAGUCUAUGCAAUAAUAUAAAUAAGACUUGCCAACUAUACUAAAUGAUAAAAAAGAUGUACUUCUGGUAAACAUUUCAAUAACGGGGUAAACAAUUUAUCAAUUAAACAAAGAAUUAAAGCCCCUCAAUUACAGUAAAUAAACUGCUGUUCUUCUAUAUUUUGGUUCGUACUAAUUAACAGUGGAGAUGACAAAAGUGCCAGUAGAAAUAAAUACAUAUCAAUGAAAAAGAAAAAUAUCCAAAAUGUUAUUAUAUUUUAUAAAAUAUAGGUAUCUAUAUUUUUUCUAGAUAUUCUAUUUAAAAUAUACAUUAUUUUUGCAGAUGCUUUGGAUGCUGAGAUAAAAUUGUUUUAUAAACUAGAAGAAAAAAAUACCUAAACUCCCCCCCCUCCCCUCCAAAACAAAUAGCAUGCCACAUAUGUAUAGAUUGGUACACAUAUUUCAUGUGUAAAAUUACAUUGUUUUUCACAUUGCAUUGUAGGAUUAUAUGUAGCUCUUACUGGGGCUGUAUUGAUUAACAGUGCAUUUACUAUUGAUUCUAAUUCUGUAUAUAUGUAUUUUUUUAUUUCUUUAAUUAAUAAUGUAGUAGGAAAGUAGAUAUAUAAGUGUCACUAAAAAGUGUUUCAGUUGCUUUUCCUAAUGCUGAGUGGGUCAGGCAGAAUUCCCUGUCAAAAUUAGUUUUACUUGGAAGAUGAUGCAGGAUAAUGUUCUCAAUUAUAGGAGCUACAUACAGGAUUUUAUGAUUUCAUAAAGAUAUUGGAUAUUCAAAAGAAAGAGAGAGAAAGUAAAAUGUAAUUGUUUUAUAGUCGUAAAAACUAAUUUCAGGUGAUACAAGGUACUCAUUAUAUAUAUAUA
Molecule: non-coding RNA, 1119 nt
Organism: Pelobates cultripes (western spadefoot toad)
Lineage: Eukaryota; Metazoa; Chordata; Amphibia; Anura; Pelobatidae
Source: the annotation of a GenBank genome assembly